AUACGGAGGGUGCGAGCGUUAAUGGGAAUUACUGGGCGUAAAGCGCGCGUAGGCGGUUUGGUCAGUCGGAUGUGAAAGCCCUGAGCUCAACUUGGGAACUGCAUUUGAAACUGAUAGUCUUGAGGCCGGAAGAGGAUGGCGGAAUUCCCAGUGUAGAGGUGAAAUUCGUAGAUAUUGGGAAGAACACCGGUUGCGAAGGCGGCUACCUGGACCGGUACUGACGCUGAGGCGCGAAAGCUAGGGUAGCAAACAGGAUUAGAAACCCCGGUAGUCC
RNAcentral lists this ribosomal RNA (274 nucleotides) under uncultured bacterium. RNAcentral describes it as "partial 16S ribosomal RNA". It matches the Rfam family "Bacterial small subunit ribosomal RNA", at positions 523 to 796 of the family's 1533-position model. The record is from RNAcentral.